Cygnus atratus (black swan) is the source of this 984-nucleotide long non-coding RNA. RefSeq lists it as uncharacterized. The record is from RefSeq and is a predicted model, not a curated record. Lineage: Eukaryota; Metazoa; Chordata; Aves; Anseriformes; Anatidae. The transcript has 5 exons.
AGAGGUCAUAAAUCCUCAAGAUAUUUGAAUCAUUACCCUAACUGCAUAGAGAAAGAAGAUUAUGCUUUCAGCAUCACCACAAGGACCAGAUGAAGUGCCAUGUCCCAAGGAGGAGUGAGCAGUGCAAGCUAUACCUUGAAUGACCUGACGUUGUUAUUGUUGCUGCUGUUGUCAGACUACCAAGAUUCUUGGAACUAAGAAGUCUACACAGCACUGAAGAACUUUUCUUAAAGAAAGAUUGAAGAGCUCCAAGGCAAUGGAGAGCACCAUGAGCAUGUCAUGGACUUAGUAUGAUCCAAGAGCUUACUUGCUGUCAUUCUUCGCUUCUGUACAAUAAAAACCCGCAACCGAUUGUUGGAUCGAUGCUUCUUUGAAACUUGAAGGAUGGCAGAGGUUCUAAAAAAUUCUAAAUCUUAAUACGUUUUUAUCAGUAUCCUCGAUCAGUGAUAUUUUUUUCUUCAGGUUCAUUUCAUGUUCUAUCAUCAGCAAUAACACAGGAAUUUAAUAUAUAUUUCUGAACCAGACAUCACCUCUUACUUUCAGAAACUAGAAAAAAACUAAUGUCACUAGCAGUUGCCAUCCUCACAGUGGCAAACACAGAGGGGCAGGGCCAAUCUUCUUUGUUUCCUAGCUGUUUGCAAUAUAAUACAUUUAGCUUUUUGUCUAAAACUGGAGAGAAAGGGGAAAAAAAAAGCCAUGAAGGGGUGCCAUAUAUUUCUUCUUAGGUGAUGUGUGAAUUUGGGACCUGAGAAUGUCAUUGCUCAUUAGGUAAUUAAGAUGUGGAACAUAUCACUGAGAGUAUUUAUGUUGGUAACCGCUUACUAAACAAAUGUGUAACUUCAUCUUGUCUUAUUUGCAUGUCCAAGUGGAAAAAUAAGGGAAUCUGCAUCUUGUUUUGUUGUUUCAAAUUGUUAAUAAAUAGUACUCAUUAGUUAGGAUAAUGCAGCUAGAAACAACAGUAGCAUUUGGUUCUUAUCAAAGUUA